Molecule: ribosomal RNA, 253 nt
Filed under: uncultured bacterium
Lineage: Bacteria
Description: partial 16S ribosomal RNA
Rfam family: Bacterial small subunit ribosomal RNA
Source: RNAcentral
UACGAAGGGGGCUAGCGUUGUUCGGAAUUACUGGGCGUAAAGCGCGCGUAGGCGGUGAUCUUUGUCGGAGGUGAAAUCCCGAGGCUCAACUUCGGAAUUGCCUUUGAAACGGGAUCGCUUGAGUCCGAGAGAGGAUGGCGGAAUUCCUAGUGUAGAGGUGAAAUUCGUAGAUAUUAGGAAGAACACCGGUGGCGAAGGCGGCCAUCUGGCUCGGUACUGACGCUCAGGCGCGAAAGCGUGGGGAGCAAACAGG